GUGGGGAAUAUUGGACAAUGGGGGGAACCCUGAUCCAGCCAUGCCGCGUGUGUGAAGAAGGCCUUUUGGUUGUAAAGCACUUUAAGCGAGGAGGAGGUUACCGAGAUUAAUACUCUUGGAUAGUGGACGUUACUCGCAGAAUAAGCACCGGCUAACUCUGUGCCAGCAGCCGCGGUAAUACAGAGGGUGCAAGCGUUAAUCGGAUUUACUGGGCGUAAAGCGCGCGUAGGUGGCCAAUUAAGUCAAAUGUGAAAUCCCCGAGCUUAACUUGGGAAUUGCAUUCGAUACUGGUUGGCUAGAGUAUGGGAGAGGAUGGUAGAAUUCCAGGUGUAGCGGUGAAAUGCGUAGAGAUCUGGAGGAAUACCGAUGGCGAAGGCAGCCAUCUGGCCUAAUACUUACACUGAGGUGCGAAAGCAUGGGGAGCAAACAGGAUUAGAAACCCUAGUAGUCC
Molecule: ribosomal RNA, 451 nt
Filed under: uncultured bacterium
Lineage: Bacteria
Description: partial 16S ribosomal RNA
Rfam family: Bacterial small subunit ribosomal RNA
Source: RNAcentral